CAGUGUAUAUAUUUUUCAUACAGCGAAUGCCACUAAAAUGGCUGCUGCCUCCCUGUUUCCUUAGAAACCCAUUAGUCUUCCUCGGCCGUGGUCGAAACUUGCUGGCGGUUUCUUGCUCACCUUUCCCGUUUCCCCUUUCAAAAGGGAUGAAGAGGAAGGUUAUCAUGGCUUAGGGCCGGAGCACCCACGGUAGUCACCAAGUGUGGAGUCCAGGGGACAGUUUGUCCUGAAGGGAGGUUCAAGGAGACUGGAGAAUGAAACAGCAGGUGCAUUCUGGGAUGCUUUUAUCCUAAUAAAACUCCUCCAAAGACUUUGCUGUUUUCCCUCUGCUCGAUAGCCAGGAUCUGGUUUCAGACCUGCCACCCCAUUCUCUCAGCAACACCUCCCUGCUUGGUGCUUGUCCCCAGCUGACCUCCAUCCAUUUCUAUCAUGUUUUAGCUGAAACACCAAACUGCAGGGCUUUGUCUCCUGAGCAACUGCCGAUGGGGCUAAAGGAUGAAAUACAGAAAUGCAGACGAUUUAAUUCCCCCUGAGUGAAUUGUGACCAGUGGGAGACAAGAGAUUGGAGGAUACUGGGCAGAUAAACGUCCUCUCCCUUUUUCCCUCUGAUGAACUGUUCCAAUAUAUGAUUUCUCCAUACAGCCUGUCGGAAGUCGACCUGUGUGACCAAGCCUAUGUGCUUACUGACUGCUGUAGUUUGGAUUGUGUUCCCCAAAAGAUAUGUUGAAGUCUUGAACCCAGUACCUUAUUGGAGAGAGGGUCUUUGCAGAUGUAAUUGAGUUAAGAUGAGGUCAUCAGGGCAGGUCCUAACCCAAUAUGAUUGAUGUCUUUAUAAGAAGAAAAGACAGAGACACAGAGGGAGAAGACAGCCAUGUGAUGACAGAGACCAAGGUUGGAAUGAUGCAUCUACCAGCCAAGGAACACCAAGGAUUGUCAGCAAACACCAGAAGCUAGAAGAAACGAGGAAGGAUCCCCUACAGGUUUCAGAGGGCAUAUGGCCCUACCAACAUCUUGAUUUUGAAUUUCUAGCCUCCAGAGCUGCAAGACAACAAAUUUCUGUUGUUUUAGGUGACCCUGUUUGUGGUACUUUGUUACAACAGCCCUAGGAAACAAAUAUACUGAGUGACCAGCUGUGUGGGAUUUACCUCCCAAAUAGAGCACUAACAGUGCUUAAGUCCGUGCCUGGAGCUCUGUUCUCCAGAGAGCUGUGACUGUGACUGGAACCAAAGACCUGAAUAAAAUGAAAGGUGAUAUUUGAGGACAGAGAUUACAGACAGAGGGAAGAGUCAAUGCAAAGGUGGCAGCAUGCUUGAUGUGUUAGAGGACCAGGAAGAAAGGUAGUGUGUUUGGAAAAUUAAUAAGGGGAAGAGUGUCAAGAAAUGAAGUCAAAGAGGGAGCCAAAGAAGACACCAUCCCUAGGGCCUUAUGGACCAUAGAAAGGACUUUGGAUUUUUUUAAACAAUGUAUUAUUGAAAUGUAAUUUACACUUAGGAGUAAAAUGAACAAAUCUUAAGCGUAUGGUUUUGUGAAUUUUUUUUACAUAUUGCUCUGGUUUGAAUAUGUCCCCCAAAAUGCAUGUGUUGAAACCUAACCCCCCAGGUGAUGGUAUUGAGGUUGGGCCUCUGGGAGGUGAUUAAGUCACGAGGGCAGAUAUAUUGUAAAAGAAACCCAAAAGAGCUCCCUUGCCUCCUUCUGCCAUGUGAAGACACAGGAAGUCUGCCAUUUGGAAGAAGGCCAUCACCAUGCUGGUACCCUGACCUCAGACUUCCAGCCUCCACAACUGUGAGAAAUAAAUUUCCAUUGUUUACAAGCUA
RNA transcript from Felis catus (domestic cat), 1814 nucleotides. It is a transcript of the gene named cuticle collagen 2-like, with no coding region annotated. The record is from RefSeq and is a predicted model, not a curated record. The transcript has 3 exons. Lineage: Eukaryota; Metazoa; Chordata; Mammalia; Carnivora; Felidae.